This is a microRNA of Caenorhabditis elegans, 22 nucleotides long. NCBI's taxonomy places the organism in Eukaryota, Metazoa, Nematoda, Chromadorea, Rhabditida, Rhabditidae. The record is from Ensembl.
GAUGGCUGGAAUAUCGGUAUUC